AUGGAACGGUGUGGGUCAACACACAGCAACAUGGGUCAACACACAUCAACGUGGGUCAACACUCAUCAACGUGGGUCAACACAGAGCAACAUGGGUCAACUCACAUCAACGUGGCUCAACACACAUCAAUGUGGGUCAACACAGAGCGAUGUGGGUCAACACAUCAACAUGGGCCAACACAGAACGUGGGUCAACACAUCAGCGUGGGUCAACUCACAUCAACGUGGCUCAACACUCAUCAACGUGGGUCAACACAUAGCAAUGUUGGUCAACGCACAUCAAUGUGGGUCAAUACACAUCAACGUGGGUCAACGCACAUCAACGUGGGUCAACAUACAUCAAUGUGGGUCAACACAGAGCAACGUGGGUCAACUCACAUCAACGUGGGUCAACACACACCAGCAUGGGUCAACACAGAGCAACGUUGGUCAACGAACCUCAAUGUGGGUCAACACAGAACAACGUGGGUCAACUCACAGCAACGUGGGUCAACACACAUCAACGUGGGUCAACACACACCAGCAUGGGUCAACACAGAGCAACGUUGGUCAACGAACAUCAAUGUGGGUCAACACAGAGCAACGUGUCAACACAAAUCAACGUGGGUCAACACACAUCAACGUGGGUCAACACAUCAACGUGGGUCAACACAUCAACGUGGGCCAACACAGAACAACGUGGGUCAACACAGAACAACGUGGGUCAACACAGCAACGUGGGUCAACACAAAUCAACGUGGGUCAACACACAUCAAUGUGGGUCAACACACAUCGUGAGCCAACACAGAACAACGUGGGUCAACACAGAACAGCGUGGGUCAACACAUCAAUGUGGGCCAACACAGAACAACGUGGGUCAACACAGCAACGUGGGUCAACUCACAUCAACGUGGAUCAACACAGCAACGUGGGUCAACACAUCAAUGUGGGCCAACACAGAACAAUGUGGGUCAACACAUCAACGUGGGUCAACUCACAUCAACGUGGGUCAACACAGAGCAACAUUGGUCAACACAGAACAAUGUGGGUCAACACAUCAACGUGGGUCAACACAGAGCAAUGUUGGUCAACACAGAGCAACGUUGGUCAACUCACAUCAACGUGGGUUAACACAUCAACGUGGGUCAACUCACAUCAACGUGGGUCAACACAUCAAUGUGGGCCAACCCAGAACAACGCGGGUCAACACAGAACAACGUGGGCCAACACAAAACAACGUGGCUCAACUCAGAACAACGUGGGUCAACACAGAGCAAUGUGGGUCAACACAUCAAUGUGGGUCAACACAGAGCAAUGUGGGUCAACGCACAUCAACGUGGGUCAACAAAUCAACGUGGGUCAACACAGAACAACGUGGGUCAACACAAAACAAUGUGGGUCAACUCACAUCAACGUGGGUCAACACAGAACAACGUGGGUCAACACACAUCAAUGUGGGUCUGCUCUGUCCUUAAACCCCCCCCUGCCCCCCAAGUACCCCACAUCUCCCCCAUAUGGCCCCCAUAUCCCCUUACCACAGUGGAUGAACAUGUCCCUAAACCACCCCUGGCCCCCCAAGGACCCCACAUCCCCCCCAUAUCCCCACAUGGACCCCACAUCCCCCCCCUGCCCCCCAAGGACCCCCUAUCCCCCCACAUCCCCUUACCGGAGUGGAUGAACAUGUCCCUAUACACCCCACCCCCGACCCCCAAGGACCCCACAUCCCCCCAUAUCCCCCACAUCCCCUUACCCGAGUGGAUGAACAUGUGCUUGCUGUAGUUCUUCCUGGAGCUGAAUGUCUUCUGGCAAUGGCCGCACUGAUACGUCGGCUCAGGGCGUCGCGCUGUCCCGGCCCUUGACACCUUAUGGACCCCAAUGGGGGCUCCACCAACUGCCCCCCCUUCCCCAACCCCCUCCUCAUAAAGGGGCGGCACUUGGGGGGCGAAUCCCAAACUGCUCCCCCCACCUCCCAGCCCCACCUCAGUCCCAAAGGCCGGACCCCUCCCCACUUUACCCCCAUCAUCCCCCUGCCAAGGGGGCAGGAAGGCGUCAAAGACAUCGGGGGCAUCGAGAAACAGCGGCUCUUCAACAGGGAACGGCAUUGGGGGCACUGAGCCUUCAUCAUCAUCAUCAUCCUCCUCCUCUUUAAUAGGCAGCUGGAGCCUCAGGGGCUGCCUCUGCUUGCGGCUAUGGCAGCUGGGUGCCCCAUAGCAUCCUUCUGCUGGUGGGGCUGCCCCAUAGCACCCAUCGUGUCCUGAUGGUACCAAGAGCUUGUGAUGGGCAUCACCCCCAUCCGAUAACACAGGAGGGGCUGCCCCAUAGCACCCAUCGUGUUCUGAUGAUACCAAGAGCUCCUGGAGCUUGUGCUGAGCCUCAUCCGCAUCUGAUAACGCAGGAGGGGCUGCCCCAUAGCAGCCAUCAUGUCCUGAUGGUGGCACCAAGGGGGGCUGCCUCUGCUUAUGGCUAUGGGAGCUGGCUGCCCCAUAGCACCCACCGUGUUCAGGUGGCACCAAGGGGGUCUGCCUCUGUUUACAGCUGGGUGCCCCAUAGCACCCAUCAUCCUGUUCUGAUAGUGGGGCUGCCCCAUAGCACCCAUCGUGUUCAGGUGGCACCAAGAGCUCCUGGAGCUGGUGCUGAGCAUCAUCCCCAUCCGCUAACCCAGGAUGGUUCCGAGUGGU
This is a long non-coding RNA of Coturnix japonica (Japanese quail), 2656 nucleotides long. Lineage: Eukaryota; Metazoa; Chordata; Aves; Galliformes; Phasianidae. The record is from Ensembl.